GCCCAGCUAGCUCAGUUGGUAGAGCAUGAAACUCUUAAUCUCAGGGUUGUGGGUUUGAGCUCCACAUUGGGCA
Haemorhous mexicanus (house finch) is the source of this 73-nucleotide non-coding RNA. The record is from the annotation of a RefSeq genome assembly. NCBI's taxonomy places the organism in Eukaryota, Metazoa, Chordata, Aves, Passeriformes, Fringillidae.